Long non-coding RNA from Tachysurus vachellii, 1219 nucleotides. RefSeq lists it as uncharacterized. The record is from RefSeq and is a predicted model, not a curated record. Lineage: Eukaryota; Metazoa; Chordata; Actinopteri; Siluriformes; Bagridae. The transcript is spliced from 4 exons.
GUCACAUAUUCACAGAUUGGAGUUUCCUGAGUCAAUAACUCCUGAGCUAAAUGCUGUUACUACACAAAUAACACCUCUUUUCUAUCGUAGUAAUGUAGAGACGCAGCUACAACCGUGUUUUGUGUAUUAACAGUGUUUAGCUCAGGAGUUAUUGACUCAGGAAACUCCAAUCUGUGAAUAUGUGACCAACUUUACUUAAGACGCCGAGGCGCUUUUUUCCUUCUCGAUAGGUGGUGUCCUUCUGCUAGGUGGCGUCCUUCCACUCGUACGUACACUGAAGCUGGAGGUCAGUCUGCUCCAUGUUUUCUAAGGAGAACGCUUUGAGCUGAUUCUUAGCUGAUUCAGAGCAUCAUACAGAGUUGGGGCACUCUGAGAGAAAAGAAGGGAUAGACGAGGAGCUGAGUGAGGAUAAAGGUUUCUCAGCAGAGUGGCAGUGAAGGGGCUCCGCAAAAACAGACCCAGAGAGGCAUCGGGAGAGAGGGAUGGCACUUUUUAUGACACACACUGAAAGAGACAAAGAACACUAAGGAGUGUGGUAAGAAGGAGCGGUUCUCUGAAACCUCCAGGCUGCGUUUGGGCUUGAGUUGAGUGAGAGGUCCUGGACUAGUCACAAUUGACGGCAAGGAGGCUUGAGACUGGUCCAAACAGAACAGGACAAGGAGGAAACUAAAUUGCAGAAAUGCUGAUGCCUUAUUUUUAAUUAUGUUAUGCUGCCAGACUCUAUAUUGGGCAGAACACACAUUAAAACGUGUGUACACCUGCCUGUAUACACACUCCUACCCUUAAGUACAUAAUUUCUUAACCCCGUUUUAUACAAAUAUAGUUACUACUAUUAAUGCCAGUAUAAUAUGAAUAAUAAUCUUUAGACAUGGGUUGUUGCUGGAUUUCUUUCUACUCAUAUAUUCAGAAAUAUAAAUAUGCGUUGCAAAAUAUGUGCAAUAUAUGUUUGUGCUUUUAUAUAUAUGGCAUUUUAUCUAUAUGUUUUGCUUACUGGUAAAUGUUUUUUUUUUGUUUUUAAUCUGACUUGUGUGAAAGAUAUGCCCUUCUCCUGACCUUGAUUUAAUAUACAGGACAUGAAAUGGAUUUUAUGUUGUUCAUAGUGAGUCAUCCCUGUGAUGUUUUUAGAUUUGGAGCUAGAUGAGAUAAAACAGUGUUAUUUUUGGGAACUUCCCACACGAGUAAAAACAAUCCAAUGACAUUGACAGCCGCAUUAGAAAUG